Molecule: ribosomal RNA, 255 nt
Filed under: uncultured bacterium
Lineage: Bacteria
Description: partial 16S ribosomal RNA
Rfam family: Bacterial small subunit ribosomal RNA
Source: RNAcentral
GUCCACGCCGUAAACGAUGGAUACUAGCUGUUCGGAGCAAUCUGAGUGGCUAAGCGAAAGUGAUAAGUAUCCCACCUGGGGAGUACGCACGCAAGUGUGAAACUCAAAGGAAUUGACGGGGGGCCCGCACAAGCGGUGGAGCAUGUGGUUUAAUUCGAUGAUACGCGAGGAACCUUACCAGGGCUUAAAUGUAGAUUGACAGGACUGGAAACAGUUUUUUCUCGGACAAUUUACAAGGUGCUGCAUGGUUGUCGU